This is a long non-coding RNA of Chrysemys picta bellii (western painted turtle), 2601 nucleotides long. RefSeq lists it as uncharacterized. NCBI's taxonomy places the organism in Eukaryota, Metazoa, Chordata, Testudines, Emydidae. The record is from RefSeq and is a predicted model, not a curated record.
CCUCCCAGAGGAAAGACAGGCGUGACGUGGGGCUGUUGGUUUGAUUUGCUCCCAGUGACUUUGCCUAUUGUUGCUGAGUAAGAACAGGAACAGCCAGAUAAACACCCGCUGGCUUUUAAACCCAACCAGGAAUGCAGCUCGCAACAACCAUCACGCAGCCCUGUCUGUACAGGGCCUUGGUAUCCAUGUACACCCGACACCCGUGCAUCUCAGCCCACACGCAUGCCGUCCUCCUUCCUCCAGCAUUUCCCUCCCACGCUGAUGCAUGUGGCCCACUUCCAUUUCACCCAGGCUGCAUCAGAGCCCCCUUCCCCCACAUUCAGACUCUGGGAUGGAGACUUUAUAGGUUCUCGUACAACGCUUUCUCCUUCUGGAUGUCGUCCUGGGCUAUUUCGCAAUGAUUUCUUGCUUUCAUUUGCUCGCUGGCUCCAACGAUUGUGUUUAGUAAAUGUAUUCUAAUGUAGUCACCUUUCACCUCCCGACUAGACGCCUAUUGAUCCAGUAUAGAUCCCAACGAAAGGCUGUUAUGAAAACAAACGCGCCCCGGCUCUAUCAGCACCGUCAACAGCUUCACUGGAGAGAACGGGAUCUGGGAAUGGAGGCUUCUGGGAUGGCAGCUAGCAGCAGAGGGCACUCUUGCCAACCUUUAGUGUUCUGUUCAUAGCAUACACCCAGAGAAGUUGGAUAAAAAUCUAAAAUACUCUUGCUGGAAGCCUGCAAUGCAACAUGACUGUCAAUCUUGGAAUUCAGAAUGGCCCUCAAGAACCCCAAAACAGAGAGAGACAAAGCAGGCUGCUCCCUAGGGCCCAACUCAGCCCACCUUACUCUAGGCUGGUUCUCUGCAGACUGGUUGCACAGGGCCCAGAUCACACGACCCUUAGCGUUCGAGCAGGACCAGGAAAUGUGAUGUCUUGUAAUUUUAAGACAGCUUUCAGCGUACCAUGACGAGCUGCUCAGUCGGAAAGGAAUCACAAAGGCUGAAGUACGAGGGAUGGAAAUGCCUUCUUUUUGCCGGCUUGAUCACCGUGGGAGAGCAGCCCCGAGGGCUGAGAGUACAGAGGAUGGCCAUGCUCCCUGGGGUCAACACAAGACAUGCUGAGACGGAUUAAUAAAAUGUCUUAAGCACCCGAGUAACCAAAGAAAAUUGUCUUAUUCUCAGAGCCUGUGACUCUAGAGAUCUGGGUUCAAUUCCCAGCUCUGCCACAGACUUCCUGUGUCACUCUGGGCAAGUCACUUAAUCCCCCGUGCCUCAGUUUCCCCCUCAUCUGUAAUAUAAGGCUGAUAACACCAAAGGGUGAUGGUACCAAAGGACACAUUCAGCAGUGGUUGUGAAGGGCUCAGAUGAUGCAGCGAUGGGUGCGGCAUAAGUAUCGAGAGAGAGAGAGCAAGUACUGAAAGGACCACGCUGCAGAAGCGUGCUGCAGAAUGUGAAAGUGGAUGACAGGAAAAGACUGUGGGUGGAGUAACUCCUCACCCAGGUCACUGAAGAAGCCACUCGGGGGCUGUUGGAAGGCAGGGCCUGCCAGUUCCUGACAUCUACCGUAUGUUACUUGCACCCUCCGGUGUCCAGCUCUGCUUGGGUGGGAGGGCUGUUUCAGUGCCAUAAAACACUCUGCUUUCUGACAGCUGUUUCCUGCCGGAGCUGCAGUUGGUGAGGAAGAAGGGAUCAGUUUUCGAUGGGAGACCCCUUACACGUUUUUAGACUGGAGAGCUUCCAUUGGCCCAGUGGAAGGAGCCUCCGGAAAAAUACAGCAGGGGUCAGGGAGCUACUGGACAAAGCGACUGCACUCCGGAUACUGCAGUGUCUCUUGCUGCCUGGAGGCAUCUCCCCCAGAGGCAAUGGAGAGGUAACCCACAGGAGAAAGAAGGCUCCUGGAAUAUGCUGCGUGGCUGCCAAACAUCAACAUGUGCGACCAUAAAACGCAGCCCCGGGAAGCGGAAUGCGAUAAUCUCGGACCUGAAAUGGUGAGCCAUGGGAGGUGAGAGAUGGAAGAGAGAGAGCUCUUUCCAGGGUGAAAAGAAGCACCAUUCAUCAGUUCCAAGGCCAGCAGGGACCCCGUGAUCAUCCAGUCUAAUCUCCCGCGUAACACUGGCCAGAGAACUUCCUCAGAACAAUCCCUGUUUGAAUCAGUGCCGAUCUUUCCCCAAACUGUCCAAUCUUGAUUUAAAAACGGCUAGUGAUGGAGAAUCUGCCAGAGCCCUUGGGCCUUUGCCAUGAUCACCUCUCCACCAUCUCACUAACCCCUGUCUGGUGCUGAUCUCUCCAUCUCCUUCACCACCCCAUCCGGCCUGCCACCACCCCCACCGUCGUCAUCUUUGCAGCCCUAUGCCGACACAUCACGAAGCAACCUCUUGGUUCGCCUUAAACAAAGGAGUGAUUUCCAGGGAGGGGGAGAGAGCUAGCCAGCCUGGAUGCUGCUCUGCCACUCCCCUUCUCAGCAUCGCUUUGUUGCUAGAGGAGUUGUUAAAACGCAGGUGCAGGCUAGAACAUGAAUUGCAACAGUGCACUUGUGUCUGUUUCCAGGCACCAGGUGUUCUAGUUAGUCCAUGUGCCACAGAAUUGUAUAAUUAACUCUUCAGCUGCUGAAUAAAAAAUAUAGU